AGCAGCCGCGGUAAUUCCAGCUCCAAUAGCGUAUAUUAAAGUUGUUGCAGUUAAAAAGCUCGUAGUUGAAUUUCGAGAUCAAUUUGUGGGUCGUGCCUCGGUACGUACUGGCAUUAUCGAUUUCUCCCUUCUGAAGAACCGCGAUGUCAUUAAUUUGGUGUUGUGGGGAAUCAGGACUGUUACUUUGAAAAAUUAGAGUGUUUAAAGCAGGCUUACGCUUGAAUACAUUAGCAUGGAAUAAUGAAAUAGGACGUUUGAUUCUAUUUUGUUGGUUUCUAGGAUCGACGUAAUGAUUAAUAGGGAUAGUUGGGGGCAUUAGUAUUCAAUUGUCAGAGGUGAAAUUCUUGGAUUUAUUGAAGACUAACUACUGCGAAAGCAUUUGUCCAAGGAUGUUUUACAUUAAUCAAGAACGAAAGUUAGGGGAUCGAAGACGAUCAGAUACCGUACGUAGUCUUAACCAUAAACUAAUGCCGACUAGGGAUCGGAUGAU
This 490-nucleotide ribosomal RNA is filed under the name uncultured Glomus. RNAcentral describes it as "SSU rRNA". It matches the Rfam family "Eukaryotic small subunit ribosomal RNA", at positions 569 to 1061 of the family's 1831-position model. The record is from RNAcentral. Lineage: Eukaryota; Fungi; Glomeromycota; Glomeromycetes; Glomerales; Glomeraceae.